Long non-coding RNA from Triticum dicoccoides, 454 nucleotides. RefSeq lists it as uncharacterized. The transcript is spliced from 3 exons. NCBI's taxonomy places the organism in Eukaryota, Viridiplantae, Streptophyta, Magnoliopsida, Poales, Poaceae. The record is from RefSeq and is a predicted model, not a curated record.
GGUUUGAUACAUUAAAGACAGGCUCAAGCCCCUCUAGGGAAGCAUCCAGUAUCCCUGUUCUACUGAUUUCGCCGGAACGUCGACCUAUGCUCCACCUGAGGCGGCCACCACACAAAGGGAGAGGAAGCCAAAACGAAUCUAUCCCGCCUUACUAUCCAUGACCCGACGACAGACAGCUACUUCGAGCCUAAGUGAGCAGCCGCCAGCCCUGCAUUUCGAGUCUAGGAAGCACAGAAGAAGGUAGUAAGAUGCAGCGUCUUUCCACAAGGCAACGAUGCCAGAGAAUGUCUUCGUGUUUUUGCAUAUUGUGUCACUGCCCGUAGAUGGUGCAGUGCUUCAUGAUCACCAUGGAAACAAAUUCUCUGUUUAAUCAAGAUAAAUGUUCACCAUUGUGGAAACAUAUCCGAUAUAGUUUAAAAUUUAUGUUUUUAACUUUAUGAUGGAAACAAAUAUA